GUGUAUUCUUUAUUGUAAGGGUUCUGUUUCUCUCUCUCCCCACCCACAACCAUCCCCACCCUCGUCCUCUCAUAUGCUCACUUGGCCUCUGCCUUCCACCAUAUGGUGAUGCAGCAAGAAGACCAAAUGUGGAAUCUUGGACCAGGUCUGUGAGACAGAUUAACUUUUAUUGUUUAUAAAUUAUCCAAUGUAUGAUAUUCUAUUAAAAUAGUACAAAAUGGAUUAAGAUGUGUCCUAAAGUGCUAACUUGGACCUGGAUUUAUCAUUCCCUGGCAGAUGAAGAGAAUGCCAUCAGAAGUGGUGUGGAGGCUACAGAUAAUCCCUUGCUCCAGAUUUUGCAGGUGGUGACCUUGAAAAUUGUCCAGGUGUCCAGUAAAUCUCAAAAGAAAGAGGAGCUGAAUAUAUGACUUCCUACAGGUUUGUCUGAGGUAAGGGAUCCUUUUGCACAAAGUGGAGGUCUCUGCUUCUGACUCAAUAUCAAUCACACUCUUAGAGGGUGCUGCUUCCCUCAGAAAUUUCAUUGUUGAACUUAGUUGGGUUGCAUCUUGGGCUCAGAAGUCACGUUUUGUCUUUUGUGAACCUGUAAAAAUGCCAGGAUUCUAUUUUGUUGUUGUUGUUAUUGUUGUUGAGAAUGUGGCAUGGGAAAUUCAAGGGGUAGGCUGCAGCUUCCUGUCUUCUCUCAUGUCCUCCAUGGGCACAGCUCUUACUUUAAGGCACAUCCAUCUCAACGAUGUUGAUGUUAGGAAGACUUCAGACUAAAAUAUUCAGUAAAUGAAGUUUAAUCCACCAAGAAGCCACACCGUGGGCUGAAUUGGAAUAAUCCCUGGAGUCUCAAAUUAAUCCUUGUUAGACAUAAGUUCCAUAAUGUCAUCAGGAAGUUUUUCAGUUCCUAGUUCUUGCAAUUUCCCUUUUAUGGCACCCUGGAUAUUGCAGCUGUACCUGGGUACAGACCCUGGGUCAUCAGAGUUCCAAGGUUACCAACUUCAGCUCCCAAACCCUAGCUAGCAUUGGCUGUUUAUUCUGGCUACAUGAUGUUUAAAGUUAAAGGUUUCUUAGAUGUAACUUGAUAGGUUAAAAAAAAGGUUGCUUCCUACCAUGGCCAAUGACUAAUUGUUUUGGAAGCAUCCAGCUAAUUUUCAAGCUGUCUUUUAAGCUUCAUAACCUUUAAAAAUCAGCAUUUAAAAUAAAUCUAUGACCUAAAUACA
This 1205-nucleotide long non-coding RNA is filed under the name Oryctolagus cuniculus (rabbit). RNAcentral describes it as "lncRNA (ENSOCUG00000036275.1)". The record is from RNAcentral. Lineage: Eukaryota; Metazoa; Chordata; Mammalia; Lagomorpha; Leporidae.